Molecule: transfer RNA, 70 nt
Filed under: Pachyhynobius shangchengensis (Shangcheng stout salamander)
Lineage: Eukaryota; Metazoa; Chordata; Amphibia; Caudata; Hynobiidae
Description: tRNA-Gly
Rfam family: tRNA
About the family: Transfer RNA (tRNA) molecules are approximately 80 nucleotides in length. Their secondary structure includes four short double-helical elements and three loops (D, anti-codon, and T loops). Further hydrogen bonds mediate the characteristic L-shaped molecular structure. tRNAs have two regions of fundamental functional importance: the anti-codon, which is responsible for specific mRNA codon recognition, and the 3' end, to which the tRNAs corresponding amino acid is attached (by aminoacyl-tRNA synthetases). tRNAs cope with the degeneracy of the genetic code in two manners: having more than one tRNA (with a specific anti-codon) for a particular amino acid; and 'wobble' base-pairing, i.e. permitting non-standard base-pairing at the 3rd anti-codon position.
Source: RNAcentral
AUCUUUUUAGUAAAAAAUAAUACAAAUGACUUCCAAUCAUUUAAUCUUAGUUUAAACCUAAGAAAAGAUA